Molecule: long non-coding RNA, 1288 nt
Filed under: Marmota monax (woodchuck)
Lineage: Eukaryota; Metazoa; Chordata; Mammalia; Rodentia; Sciuridae
Source: RNAcentral
AUUAGGGGAUCAGGAUCACAUGAUCCCAAAAGACCAAAAUAUGGGUUGCUUUUGGCUCUGGGGCCUUUUAGAGAAGCUACUUGGUAAAGCAACUGUAGAUUUGCAAGGGUAAGAAUCGAAGGGGCAAAGCCAGGUCAGUACAGCUAGCAUUAGAGAUUUAAGAGUUCUCACCUCUUAAAUCUGAGUGAAGAGUGUGACAAGUAGACAGAAUUAUGAAAUUGGGGGUGGAAAAAUGAGUGUCCCCAAAUAUUUCUGUAUGCCAGUAACCCACCCUGACCUGGUGAAUAAGAUGCAUGGGAGAGCUCAAAAUUAAUGAAGGUCAUCUGGUUUGUCUCCAUGGCUAACUAAGGUGUUUUCGAGAGUGUGGCUUCCAGAAGGAACAUUUAGAAGGAGGGCUUCCUCUGUAGAAAGAAGCUCUAAACUCGAUUCCAGGAGGGUUCUCAAGCCAGCUCUGCCACCUCUGUAGGCCUCAGUUAUCUGUCAUUCAUUCCCUCUGCUAUUCAGUAAACAUUUCUUGAACUCUUUCUGUGGGCUGGCAUGGUACUGAUGGAUGAGGCACUUUUAACAAGGUAACCUUUGCUGUUGAAGAGCUCACAGCUUUGAGGGGGCAAGAGUCAAGCACAGAGAUUUUGAGUAGACACUACUCAGGGGUAUGAACAAAGAACCCUGGAGGAAUUAUGUCAAUAGGACUACAGUUAGCACUUAGGGAGCCUUGUGAAAUUUUAGAAAGGCACCUCUUUUUCUGGACCACAGCAGCUUCAUGACAGAAUGUCCAGCCUGGCAAGCUGAGCACAGAUUUCCACCCACCCUAGGUUUUUUCCCUAAGGCCGAUUGCUCUUGCCUGAUGAACAGUCUACAUCCCUGAAUGUCAAGAUUGCGACAGAAAGGGUUGAAAGAAGGACAAGGUGGAGGGAUCCAUUUUAGGCAGAAGAAAGAAUAUGGACAAAAACCAGAGGCAAGGGAAGGAGCUCCCCACACUCGGGCACGUGCCCUUGGUUCAAUGUGACUAGAAGGUAGAGUGAAAUAGAAGCAAAUGAAACUGACAAAAUUCCUUGCCUUUGAGGACAUCCCUGGAGCUUGAUAGGCCUCCAGUAUCAAUUCAAUCUAUCAGAGGGCACAUUGAUUUCUGUCCCACCUUCUAAUAUUGAAUGAGCUCCUAGAUGAGAUGUGCACAAAAGCCCUUUGAGAACAGGGUUCAUUCUGAUAUCACUUUUAAUCCUAAUCCAGGUGAACAACUAUAGUGCCCAUGAUUUGGGGGCCUGUUUCUGUAACCAGGCACCUCCCUGAC